RNAcentral lists this ribosomal RNA (658 nucleotides) under uncultured bacterium. RNAcentral describes it as "bacterial SSU rRNA". It matches the Rfam family "Bacterial small subunit ribosomal RNA", at positions 1 to 702 of the family's 1533-position model. The record is from RNAcentral.
AUUAGAGUUUGAUCAUGGCUCAGGAUGAACGCUGGCGAGAUGCCUUACACAUGCAAGUCGUACGGGAAUUUUUAAUUCAAGUGGCGGACGGGUGAGUAACACGUAAGAAUUUGCCUUUAGGAGGGGGACAACAACUGGAAACGGUUGCUAAUACCCCAUAUGCUUUCGAGUGAAAUGGAUUUUUCCGCCUAAAGAGAAGCUUGCGGCUGAUUAGCUUGUUGGUGAGGUAAUGGCUCACCAAGGCGACGAUCAGUAUCUGGUUUGAGAGGAUGAUCAGACACACUGGAACUGAGACACGGUCCAGACUCCUACGGGAGGCAGCAGUGGGGAAUUUUCCGCAAUGGGCGAAAGCCUGACGGAGCAAUCUCGCGUGAGGGAUGACGGCCUAUGGGUUGUAAACCUCUUUUUUCAGGGAGGAACAAAAUGACGUGUACCUGAAGAAUAAGCAUCGGCUAACUCCGUGCCAGCAGCCGCGGUAAGACGGAGGAUGCAAGUGUUAUCCGGAAUCACUGGGCGUAAAGCGUCUGUAGGUGGUUUAAUAAGUCAACUGUUAAAUCUUGAAGCUCAACUUCAAAAUCGCAGUCGAAACUAUUAGACUAGAGUAUAGUAGGGGUAAAGGGAAUUUCCAGUGGAGCGGUGAAAUGCGUAGAUAUUGGAA